AAUUUUGGACAAUGGGGGAAACCCUGAUCCAGCCAUCCCGCGUGUAUUAUGAAGGCCUUCGGGGUGUAAAGUACUUUUGGCAGAGAAGAAAAGGUACUUCCUAAUACGAUGUACUGCUGACGGUAUCAGUAGAGUAAGCACCGGCCAACUAUGUGCCAGCAGCCGCGGUAAUACGUAGGGUGCAAGCGUUAAUCGGAAUUACUGGGCGUAAAACGUGUGUAGGCGGUUCGGAAAGAAAGAUGUGAAAACCCAGGGCUCAACAUUGGAACUGCAUUUUUAACUGCCGAGCUAGAGUAUGUCAGAGGGGGGUAGAAUUCCACGUGUAGCAGUGAAAUGCGUAGAUAUGUGGAGGAAUACCGAUGGCGAAGGCAGCCCCCUGGGAUAAUACUGACGCUCAGACACGAAAGCGUGGGGAGCAAACAG
This 423-nucleotide ribosomal RNA is filed under the name uncultured bacterium. RNAcentral describes it as "partial 16S ribosomal RNA". It matches the Rfam family "Bacterial small subunit ribosomal RNA", at positions 360 to 775 of the family's 1533-position model. The record is from RNAcentral.